CAAACUGCCACAUUUGGCCUCUUUGUGUUUGAAGAGGCGUAGAAACUACAGCUGAACACGUUUGGUUUGAGGCUUUCUCUUAAUCGACACAUUUGCUGGAGUUUGAUCCUCGACUCCCUCCUUGUCUCCCUCAGUUAGUUAUGAUUGUUGCUGGAAAUGUUAGUGCUGCCAUUUUUGUUCAUGUUUAAGAUGGUUUCCAUCAUGUUUUCACAUGCCAGGCCCUUUAAGGUUCUUCUCACAGUUUGAAACUUGCUAAAAUGAUAUAAACUUUGAUAAGAGGCGUGUAACCUUGUUGCAAAGUUAAGUUAUAUAAAUAAAAUUAAUAUUGGACAAACAGUGGGUUAUCAUUAGUCAGACUAAUCUAUUCUGUAGGAUUGACUUUUGAUCUGGCAGGCUGAUUACUGAUGCCAAUAUUUUGUAUUUGGCCUGCACUUUUUUUUCUUGGUCACCAAUGAACACAAACCAAGCAGUAUGCUACUUUGGGGUAAAUGUAUGUAUUUCCCUAUGGGUCUGUUUUCAUCCAAUAUUCAUGUUUAAGAUGGUUUCCAUCAUGUUUUUACAUGCCAGGCCCUUUAAGGUUCUUCCUACUGUUUGAAACUUGCUGAAUUUAUAUAAACUUUGAUAAGAAGCGUG
Xyrichtys novacula (pearly razorfish) is the source of this 633-nucleotide non-coding RNA. Lineage: Eukaryota; Metazoa; Chordata; Actinopteri; Labriformes; Labridae. The record is from the annotation of a GenBank genome assembly.